RNAcentral lists this non-coding RNA (24 nucleotides) under Arabidopsis thaliana (thale cress). Lineage: Eukaryota; Viridiplantae; Streptophyta; Magnoliopsida; Brassicales; Brassicaceae. The record is from RNAcentral.
UUAGAUGGCUUCGACAAUGACAUC